UACGUAGGGUGCGAGCGUUAAUCGGAAUUACUGGGCGUAAAGCGUGCGCAGGCGGUUUUGUAAGCCAGAUGUGAAAGCCCCGGGCUUAACCUGGGAAUGGCAUUUGGGACUGCAAGGCUGGAGUUUGGCAGAGGAGACUGGAAUUCCUGGUGUAGCAGUGAAAUGCGUAGAUAUCAGGAGGAAUACCGAUGGCGAAGGCAGGUCUCUGGGCUAUAACUGACGCUCAUGCACGAAAGCGUGGGGAGCAAACAGGAUUAG
This 258-nucleotide ribosomal RNA is filed under the name uncultured bacterium. RNAcentral describes it as "partial 16S ribosomal RNA". It matches the Rfam family "Bacterial small subunit ribosomal RNA", at positions 524 to 781 of the family's 1533-position model. The record is from RNAcentral.